Aphis gossypii (cotton aphid) is the source of this 292-nucleotide long non-coding RNA. RefSeq lists it as uncharacterized. The transcript has 3 exons. Lineage: Eukaryota; Metazoa; Arthropoda; Insecta; Hemiptera; Aphididae. The record is from RefSeq and is a predicted model, not a curated record.
CGGAUGACACCUAUUUCAAUUCCUCUAAAACAAAACUUGUUAUAAUAAUAUAAGUUCACACGAAAUUAUCUUUGAAACUAUUUGUACAUUUCGUCCUACUGUUUUGUUGUGUCUUAUGUACAGGUUGCGAAGACUUUUAAUCCCAACAAAAGCUUGGGCGUCCAGUUUUUGAAGUUUUCGAUUGCCUCUCAAGUUACUGUAAUAACAUAGCGUCUUUGAAAGUCAAUGGUCCUACUUCGUUAAUAAAAUUAUAAUUGAGCUGACUGUAAAAAAAUAAAUAAAACAUCAGAAA